Long non-coding RNA from Felis catus (domestic cat), 1818 nucleotides. RefSeq lists it as uncharacterized. NCBI's taxonomy places the organism in Eukaryota, Metazoa, Chordata, Mammalia, Carnivora, Felidae. The record is from RefSeq and is a predicted model, not a curated record. The transcript has 3 exons.
GAGGGGAAGGAAUGGGUUGCGGAGAGACAUCCCGGCUGAAAAGGUGCUAGACAAGUUUGAGGAGGCCCCCAAGGCCCUUCACCCCGCGGCGCACAGUCAGCUCGCCCGGAUGCGCGAGGAGCGCCGAGAGGCCGCGAACCCGGCAUCCAAUUAGGAGUUUCGGCGGAUUCUCGCCGAGCUAGCCAAGCUGCCGGAUCACUCGGCAACCUUCUGGCUGAGAUCAGGUGUUUGCUCGGGAGGCGAGCAGAGGAGCGCUUGCGGAAGACGUUCCCGCGCCGACGCCCACCGCGUCCUUCACUCCUCACGCCGGAGCCCGGCCACGGGACGUAUGUGGUGUCGGCCACGCGGCCACAGUGGGUGUGCAGCGGCCCCGCACAGAGGGGCCCGACGGGUCACAGUGAAACGGCAGCGCAUUCGGACCCCGGAGAGAGAGAGAGGGUGGGUGAGGUGGGACCAGCCGAGCGGCCGUCCCUCCCCCGGUUCCCGCUCCUCUGUCUAGACAGCCGAGUCUGCUUCUGCGGCUGAGGUCGGGGAGUCGUCCACACGGCGCGUCGCAGGAGCCCCCGCUGCGUACGUUGUUGCGUACACGCACGUCUGCAGCGGGCUUCACGCAAAACCACGUCCUCUGCGUCCCGGGCUCCAGCUAACGGGCCCGCGAAGGCCAAUUGAGACAGAGGUGCCUCAGUGAUGAAGAACUGAUUCGUGGGAUGCGCCAGCCCUUUGGGGACCACACGUCUCGCCGGGACCAGGUGGCCAGGACUUCUGAUGUCUGUGCAGAGAGGAAGGGGAGCUUUGCUGAGGACACCCGCCCGGUGCUGCCGAAAUCCCAGAGUGUGGUGCACAGCACAGCCUUCCCUCAGACGAGACCACUGCUCGACCAUCGUUCUGUCCUGUCUUUGGUGGACAGCAUCUCCGAGACGCCCUCCCAGAGCACCGCAAGCCCAGGGCCGCCUCCUCCCGGACCUUCUGCUGUUGCCCCCACUGGCUGCGCAUCCUUCCGUCUUUCUCCAGGUCCGUCAGCACCCGGGACCCGUGUAUACAUGUGUACGUGUCCUGUCUGUCCACGUUGGUUGCCCUCAGGAGGAUCAGCCCAGUGGGGCAAAUAAGACCCCUUGGCACCGCGGGGCAGGUGACGAAUGGCGAAGAAGGAUGGCAGGCAUAUCUGUUUGUCCGCCCGACGGGCAACCUGCAAACGGCUUCGGACCGGCGACUCCUGGUGUGCUCUCAGCAGGGGAGAGUCAUGUCAUUUCCAGGUUGGCAUAUGAUGUUAGGAUGUGUGACCAGGGUGACCUACGGUGACACACAAGACCUGUAGCAACGUGUCAGGUGCAAGAACCCGCCACUGCCGGAGUCAGGGGGAGGUGCGGGUAGGGCGAGCUCAGCAUGUGUGGCGCCCAUCGUGUGCGGUGUGGUCGGCAGCCCAGGGAACCGUCCUCUGACGCCGUUGCCUCCAGAACCCAUGAUCCCUUUUCCACGAGCAGGAGUCUCAGACACUGGACUAUGCAGACAUUAGAUCCCAGAUGACGCCAGGGUCUGUAGGAUGUCACCACGCCUCCUGCAAGGGAAGACUAGUCCCAGAGCUGACCCGGGGCUGAGGUUCACAGGACCAGCGGGUGACUGACAGGGGGACCAGACAGGGAGGCGCUGUGGCCGCGGACAUCCCAGAGCAGGAGAUUGUGACUGUUUCCAGAACUAUCACAGCGGGUGGGGCUGAGGUUCAUUCCCCUCAAAAUUAUUUGGGCGCAUUCUUCUAUUUUUUUGCCACUCUUUCAACAAGGAUCUGCAUUUGAUUAUAAUAAAAACCCAUGAGCCGUGGCU